UUUCCUUCACUAUUACCGUAUUUCAAGAUUCUAUCCGUGUUGUCCCUUGGUGAUGAUCAUUCAUACAGAAUAGAAGCGAAGCUGCUUUUACCUGGGUCUAGCAGUUCCAACUCAAUUAAAGGUUUCACUCUUUUAAAUCAGUGCGGCGGAGAGGCUGGGGAUAAUUCUCCAGAGUCUGAUCAAAUAAGUGAUGGUCGGGAGUUUGAGUAAUGAGGUUCCGGAGAUCGCUGUUGAUACAUAUCGAAUUACAAGUCUUGGCUUCACUUUGCUACCUUAACUUGGUGUUGUAGGUGAAAGUAGUGAGAGGGGCUAUGAUUUUGAUGGUGGAAGCUUGGAAAAAAAAUAGUGAGGCAUAAAGUGUUUGUUAGGAGUAAACAAAAAUCAACCAGGAUUGUGGCAUAUCAAGGGUUUCCUAUUUGGCUUGACAUACUUCUGGGCAUUAGCUUGAGGACAUACAAUGAGCCAUUCAAGGUUACAAAGAGUCUCAAGGAGGCCCUAUCAUGCUCUCUCAGAUUAAUACAUGUAAUGGAGUCUACCAAGGUGAAUUCUUCCCAAAAGACCCUAUAAACCUUCAAUUUGGACAGAAGCCUGGAAUGGAUGUUGUGUGUGUGUGUGUGUGUGAUUUUAUACUUCUUUAAAGGCUAAAAUUUUAAACUGUCAAAUUGAUCCUAUUUUGGUGUGCAAACUAACAGGUUCCCCGACUUUGGAGGCCCGACAUAUAAGUGACGAGUUCAGGAUUUAGCAUUUGCAAAACAAAUUUAGGUGGUAACUGCACAUCUGCUAAUCGAGGAGACCAUACAUCUGAAAUUGCUAACAUAGUCCAUACUCCUUCUCAAAACUUGAUUUCACUGCCUUCAAAUGCGAACUUCUCUUAUUGUCGUUGAUCACAAUGCCAAGGAUCAAACUAUGUCACUAAUGGACACAAAAUUAAAUGGAAUACUUGAAGUUUCAUGGCUAACCAGCAGUAGUAACCGAAAAAAACCAGCAGGCAUAUAAGGAUUCCGGUUUGUCAUGAUUCAUAUUUUAGCAAUUUUGUUAUUAUUGAAAUUUAUGUUAUUUAAUUUCUUUGUGGCCAAACAAACAAUGUGAGGAUACUACAGAAAUACUUGAAGUUUCAUGGCUACUAACCAGCAAUAAUAACCGGAAAAAACCAGCAGGUAUACAAGGAUUCCAAUUUGUCAUGAUUCAUAUUUUAGCAAUUUUUCUCCAAUUAAAAUCCAAUUUAAUUUCCUUUGUUACAAUAAUCUUUAAGUGAUUCAGUUUCUCAUAAUUUAGGAAUUUGUUGUUAUCAUUAGAUUUUAGAUUUGUUGCUAUCAAUAGUCUCCAAUCAAAUGCUUCUGAUUUCGAAACUAGACAUGAAAACACAAUAAACUCAGGUAUCAUCUCAUAUUUCAUUCUACUAUUCAAUUUACAGGAAAAAUUUAAUGUGAAUUUUUCGUCUUAAAUUUACACUUAUCAGUUCAAAAGUGAAGAGGCAGAGGUCUAGGCAUAAUUAACUUCUGGAAGCUCAAAACAAGGAUUUACUAUUUCACAUCUCGCAAUCAAGCACAACUGCCAGACGUAGAGGAAGAGGUCCGGGAAUAGAGCAGUUGUAUGCGCAGAGGUUUGCCGAGGAUUCUCUACCUGUAUCUAAACAUCAAACCUUGAUAAAAGGAGAUUUCUAAUUCUUGAAUUUUAUUGUCGUCCACAGGUAGCUAUAUUCUGAGUAAUUCGGUCAACAAGAUUUCAUUCUGCAGGCAGAUGCACAAGUAGGUAUCGUCUUAUACUCCCAACUCAUCAAUUUCUUUUUUUUUAUGGUGCAAAUAACCAUUCCAAUAUAGAAUUUUAACUUGAACAUUAUCCUACAAGCUUUAUACAACGUUUGUUCUGGACAAAGUCACAUGUAUUCUGUAGUACUUUACUUUGACCACGUCAGGUUUCGGUCGCACAAGGUCCUCAUUCUGAUUAAGGGUUCAGAGGGAAAGAGGUGCAGAUGAAGGGCAAAAAUACUUUUGCAGCUCCAAGGAAUGGCAGGCCACUUGGUUAUACUAGCAACAUCAACACAAAACCUGGAUGUGGUCGGGGAUGUUGUUGAGAAAAAAGAAGACAGAAGUAAUACCACAAUGAUGGUCAUGUAAUUCCUCUGGGGUUGAGCUAUACAAGAUUGCUUGGAGUAGAUAUUAGUUUUUUGACCUCGGUAUUCCUAGAUUAGCUUUGCACGAAGACAUUCUGUUACGUGUGUUAAUGUUAUCUGAUUAUAUGGUGCAUCUUACUAAUGCAUGAAGGUGAUUGCCUAAUGGAACCAACAAAGACAGAAAAUCUUCUAAUUACAGAAAUUCAUAUGGAUGAAUGGGUUCUGCUUGGUCCAGACCUACACCAUUGAUAUGAAUGUCAAUGACUUUUUUCUGGGUAAGCUAUCAGAAUUUUAUUAUUA
Daucus carota subsp. sativus is the source of this 2413-nucleotide long non-coding RNA. RefSeq lists it as uncharacterized. NCBI's taxonomy places the organism in Eukaryota, Viridiplantae, Streptophyta, Magnoliopsida, Apiales, Apiaceae. The transcript has 11 exons. The record is from RefSeq and is a predicted model, not a curated record.